Molecule: long non-coding RNA, 213 nt
Filed under: Capsella rubella
Lineage: Eukaryota; Viridiplantae; Streptophyta; Magnoliopsida; Brassicales; Brassicaceae
Description: long non-coding RNA (CRUB_LNC002844)
Source: RNAcentral
UCGAAAUUAAACUGCAUGAUUAUUACUGGAAUCUGUAUAAGAAAAGUGUCAAACUCUUCUUUUACAACGUGUAAUAGUACUAUUAUAUAUAAGUGCAUGAAUAAAAUUAGGUGAUCACAAUUUCUUGACUAACAAAUAUGAUAAAAAAAAAAAAAACAUAUCCAAAGUUACCAAGAUUAUAUAAUAAAAUGGGAAAAGGCAAAAGAAUAAGUU